This 242-nucleotide ribosomal RNA is filed under the name Salmonella enterica subsp. enterica serovar Worthington str. BCH-3008. RNAcentral's name for it is "partial 23S ribosomal RNA". Lineage: Bacteria; Pseudomonadati; Pseudomonadota; Gammaproteobacteria; Enterobacterales; Enterobacteriaceae. The record is from RNAcentral.
CGCUGUGAAGAUGCAGUGUACCCGCGGCAAGACGGAAAGACCCCGUGAACCUUUACUAUAGCUUGACACUGAACAUUGAGCCUUGAUGUGUAGGAUAGGUGGGAGGCUUUGAAGCGUGGACGCCAGUCUGCGUGGAGCCAACCUUGAAAUACCACCCUUUAAUGUUUGAUGUUCUAACGUGGACCCGUAAUCCGGGUUGCGGACAGUGUCUGGUGGGUAGUUUGACUGGGGCGGUSWCCUCC